GAUGAACGCUAGCGGCAGGCCUAAUACAUGCAAGUCGAACGGAUAUAUGUUUUUCGGAAUAUAUAUUAGUGGCGCACGGGUGAGUAACACGUACAUAACUUGCCCUCAAGCGGGGGAUAGCCUUGGGAAACUGAGAGUAAUACCCCAUAGAAUUAUUGGACGGCAUCGUUUGAUAAUUAAAACUACGGUGUUUGGGGAUAGAUGUGCGUCUGAUUAGCUAGUUGGUGAGGUAACUGCUCACCAAGGCGACGAUCAGUAGGGGGCGUGAGAGCGUGGCCCCCCACACGGGUACUGAGACACGGACCCGACUCCUACGGGAGGCAGCAGUAAGGAAUAUUGGUCAAUGGACGAAAGUCUGAACCAGCCAUGCCGCGUGGAGGAUGAAGGUCCUCUGGAUUGUAAACUUCUUUUAUAUGGGACGAAAAAGGGUUUUCUAACUCGUCUGACGGUACCAUAUGAAUAAGCACCGGCUAACUCCGUG
RNAcentral lists this ribosomal RNA (481 nucleotides) under uncultured bacterium. Its description in RNAcentral is "bacterial SSU rRNA". It matches the Rfam family "Bacterial small subunit ribosomal RNA", at positions 28 to 507 of the family's 1533-position model. The record is from RNAcentral.